This 196-nucleotide small nuclear RNA is filed under the name Cephalotus follicularis. RNAcentral describes it as "U2 spliceosomal RNA". It matches the Rfam family "U2 spliceosomal RNA". Rfam says of the family: U2 is a small nuclear RNA (snRNA) component of the spliceosome (involved in pre-mRNA splicing). Complementary binding between U2 snRNA (in an area lying towards the 5' end but 3' to hairpin I) and the branchpoint sequence (BPS) of the intron results the bulging out of an unpaired adenosine, on the BPS, which initiates a nucleophilic attack at the intronic 5' splice site, thus starting the first of two transesterification reactions that mediate splicing. Lineage: Eukaryota; Viridiplantae; Streptophyta; Magnoliopsida; Oxalidales; Cephalotaceae. The record is from Rfam by way of RNAcentral.
AUACCUUAUUCAGUUUUUUGGUUAAGAUCGAGUGUAGUAUGUGUUAUUAUCAAAUUAAUAUCUAAUAUGUGGAGCAUCGGUUCACACAAUAUUGAAUUUACUUUUUGAAGGGGAAGGCUCACCACAAUAGUUUACUAUUGGAGUCUUCAUGCGUCAUCCAUGUGUUGUACUAAGGCACAGGCCUGGUGCACCCCAC